AGUGAACGCUGGCGGUAGGCCUAACACAUGCAAGUCGAACGGCAGCACAGUAAGAGCUUGCUCUUACGGGUGGCGAGUGGCGGACGGGUGAGGAAUACAUCGGAAUCUACUUUUUCGUGGGGGAUAACGUAGGGAAACUUACGCUAAUACCGCAUACGCCCUACGGGUGAAAGCAGGGGAUCUUCUGACCUUGCGCGAUUGAAUGAGCCGAUGUCGGAUUAGCUAGUUGGCGGGGUAAAGGCCCACCAAGGCGACGAUCCGUAGCUGGUCUGAGAGGAUGAUCAGCCACACUGGAACUGAGACACGGUCCAGACUCCUACGGGAGGCAGCAGUGGGGAAUAUUGGACAAUGGGCGCAAGCCUGAUCCAGCCAUACCGCGUGGGUGAAGAAGGCCUUCGGGUUGUAAAGCCCUUUUGUUGGGAAAGAAAAGCAGCAGGUUAAUACCCCGCUGUUCUGACGGUACCCAAAGAAUAAGCACCGGCUAACUUCGUG
RNAcentral lists this ribosomal RNA (492 nucleotides) under uncultured bacterium. RNAcentral describes it as "partial 16S ribosomal RNA". It matches the Rfam family "Bacterial small subunit ribosomal RNA", at positions 29 to 507 of the family's 1533-position model. The record is from RNAcentral.